GAGCGAACGCUGGCGGCAGGCCUAACACAUGCAAGUCGAACGGACCCUUCGGGGUUAGUGGCGGACGGGUGAGUAACACGUGGGAACGUGCCUUUUGGUUCGGAAUAGCUCCUGGAAACGGGUGGUAAUGCCGAAUGUGCCCUUCGGGGGAAAGAUUUAUCGCCAUUAGAGCGGCCCGCGUCUGAUUAGCUAGUUGGUGAGGUAAAGGCUCACCAAGGCUACGAUCAGUAGCUGGUCUGAGAGAACGACCAGCCACACUGGGACUGAGACACGGCCCAGACUCCUACGGGAGGCAGCAGUGGGGAAUUUUGGACAAUGGGCGAAAGCCUGAUCCAGCAAUACCGCGUGCAGGAAGAAGGCCUUCGGGUUGUAACUGUCGUUUGUACGGUAGACG
RNAcentral lists this ribosomal RNA (394 nucleotides) under uncultured soil bacterium. RNAcentral's name for it is "bacterial SSU rRNA". It matches the Rfam family "Bacterial small subunit ribosomal RNA", at positions 27 to 450 of the family's 1533-position model. The record is from RNAcentral.